This 390-nucleotide ribosomal RNA is filed under the name uncultured Bacteroidota bacterium. RNAcentral describes it as "bacterial SSU rRNA". It matches the Rfam family "Bacterial small subunit ribosomal RNA", at positions 8 to 391 of the family's 1533-position model. Lineage: Bacteria; Pseudomonadati; Bacteroidota. The record is from RNAcentral.
AGAGUUUGAUCCUGGCUCAGGAUGAACNGCUGGCGGCGGUGCCUAACCCAUGUAAGUCGAGCGAUCCCGUUAGCAAUAAUGGGAGAGAGGCGGAAGGGUGAGUAACACGUAGGAGACCUACCUCAUCGCAGGGAACWACGGCGCGAAAGCGCCGCUAAUACCCAGAAGGCUCGUGGAUUCGUUUCCACGAGGAGAGUGCGUGCGCAAGCGCGAGCGUGAUGAGAGGGUCCUGCGGCCCAUCAGCUCGUUGGCAGGGUAACGGCCUACCAAGGCAACGACGGGUAGGGGGUCUGAGAGGACGAUCCCCCACACUGGAACUGAAACACGGUCCAGACGCCUACGGGUGGCAGCAGGGAGGCAUAUUGGUCAAUGGACGCAGGUCUGAACCAG